GUACUUGUAUAGGAGCUUUCUGACCUAUGAGAUACACAUCUUUGUUCAGAUCUCUUUCUAAGAUCACGUGAAAUGAAACAGGCAACACUAUAUGUUUAUACUGCAAAGUUACCAUGUUUCCUUUCAGGAAAUUCACAUGAUAAAGUUCAAAGAAUAUUUUAUCGAUGUUCCGUUUUGUUUCUUUCUGGUGGUAUAAGCCCAUUUGUGAUGGUGUGGAAUGCUCUCUGUGUAAGGAGUAUUUCUGUUUUCUUUGUUGAAGGUCAGUAAAGGCCUGCUAGGAUUCUGAUAUAACUUCUUGAAAUUUGGGAAAAGCUGAAAAGGCCUCGUUCUAAUUCUCUUACGAUAGUUGGUCUUGGAAAACGUUAUUCAUGGUUCUGGCCUUUUUCUUUGGCUUUGGGUGAUAAAUAGGUCAAUUUUCUCUAUAAGGAAACUGUCCUCGUUCUCUCUCUUUUGUUAAUUACUUCUUGUUAAGUCAAAUUACUGCAUUAAAAGGUGCAAGCUAAUUAGCCUUUCUGUAGUGCAUAUUUAGUGAAAAAAAAUAAAAAAUAAAGAAGUGCAUAUAUAGAAAACUCAAUACCAGAUAGGCAGAAGGUCCUCUAUGUACUACAAAUCACACUAUUGAUCAAAAACUUAGAUCCUGGGGAGGAAAGAUUAUAGUGAAACUCAUCUCUUUCUAUUUCUCCGUUGUUACAUUCUGCUUCAAGCGCGUGUUUCUGCUUCAUUUCAGCCUCCCAAGUUUUCUCUACAACCACGGCUGUACUCAAAUUUAAGCUAGUUGGGGUUAGUUAUAUGAAUCCUCACUAUCCAUUUCGUCCCAUUUGGACGCAUUUUAAUCCAAUAUCCAAUGUGGGGUUUGCUACAGUUUGCUGGUCACAAAUAUUCAAUAAUCGUGGUCCCUUAGAGCCAGAGGUUCUUUACAAUUUCUACUCACAUACAGAUCUCAAUUUCUUCCUCUCGAAUAUUCAUUAAAGCAGAUUGUUGAGAAUAUAAUUAAAUAUUAAAAGUGUGCUCUCUCUAACAGCUUAAGUUUUUAGAUGGGAUGGUCACACACUUCAAUGUGGUAUCAAAGCAGGCAGAGAUACUGAGAUCGAAUCUCACUGCCACCUAAAUCAAAAAGAAUAAUCACGUGCUUGACCAUGAAAAAAAUCAGGCCUGCACCUGAGGGGGCGUAUUGAGAAUAUAAUUAAAUAUUAAAAGUGUGCUCUCUCUAACACCUUAAGCUUUUAGAUGAGAUGGUCACACACUUCAAUACAAAUAAUGGUCCAUUUGUGAAUGACGGGUAAAUGAUGAUCCAAGGAGCACUGAAUGCUUGUCAAUAUGCUUGAUUUGCUAAGAUGCUAUAUAGUGAUGCCCUUGUAUGGCAGCCAAGAGAUAUAAAAGAAUGCCGAAAUUUUCACACUUCCUCACACCUUGGUUGCUUGAUCCUCAAAUAACGUUCCAUUUGUAGGUUAUUCCUGGAUCUUUAUCCAUGGAAUACCUUGUGUUAUGGUUAGUUGAUAGUGCUAUUAGUGUGGUCUACAGCAUUUUUCCAUGUUGAGUCUAUGUGCCUCUUCAUUCCUAAUAAGGUUGACGGCAUGUCAUGUUUGCUGAGCGGUACAAUUGGACAAAUCUUUGUUUUCAUUGAAAUCAAUUGACUUCCUUGGGGAAGUUGUCAUACCUUUCAAAUGCAUUAACAUUUUUCCAUAACAAUGCUGCCUUUCAUCGUGGAAAUUUAACAAGAUUUACCUGCUAUUACUUCAACCCUCUAUUUUGGAAUGGCAUCCAACUUUUCACCGUACCUCCCAAGGUAGAGGUAAGGUCUACAUACACUCUACCCUCCCCAGACCCCACUUGUGGGAUUACACUGGGUAUGGUGUUGUUAUCCAACUUUUUCACCUUUACCAAAAUCAGUGAAAUCAUGGGAAGAAUGCAUGUGGCUGUCAAAUGCAUUUGCAUUUUCCUAUCUGAUUAGACUCUUGUUCAUAGAUUGAGAUUCAAAUUAUUGUCCCUCCUUUAGGAUUUUUAUUUUAUUUUAUUUGGGGUGGGUUGUGUAAACCAAGGCCCCCAUUUUGUAGUUUUCUUCAUGCUACAUGAUUAGUAAAGUGGUUUAUCUUUAAUCUUUGAGUUCAAGUAAGAGUGCAGAUCCUAAGUAAACCAGGGAGAGUGUUUACAUUGCUACUGAAUAAUGUCAAUUGUUCUUAUGGUAAAUUUUCUGGAAAAGAAGCAGAAAAGUUGUCUUUAUAUAAUGUCGAGGGAGAGGUAGAAAAAGUGUCUGUAUAUAAUGUUGACUGAGGCAGAAACAAGUGUUUUCAUAUAAUGUUGAGGAGAGGCAGAAAAAGCUGGCGUUAUCUCACUGUUGCAAAAAACGGUCUGCUUAUUAGAUUCUUAAGAGUUAUGGAAUAAGAAAUUCAGUAGCUGUUUUUAAUUGGAAACUUCUUCUACCACUGCACUUGGCAAUUCAACUGUGGAAGUUCAAUUUGUAAGUAUAAAUAAGCUUACUUUCCAAUUCACUUCCAAGUCAUCUAUUGAGGAGGUCUUUUUAUGUUCAUCUUAAACUACUAGGGUUAAGACAAUCUGGCUGUGCGUGUCUUUAAUGCUUUAGCAAAUAGUCUUUGAGGUUCUCUAAGGGUAAUAAAUAGGAAAGUAAACCGUGGAAAUUCAAUUGUAGGUGUCAACAAGCUUACUUUCCUAUUCAGUUCAAGCAUCUAAUUGAUGGGUCUAGUUAUGAUUAUCUUUUGGCUUUAACUUGAGUCAAGACAAUGUAGUCAUACAAGUCUUUAGUAUGAACAAUAGAACACUUCAACAAACAAUCUUUGGGGCCUCUAACUAUAAAGAAAGAAAAAAAUUCAAGUCAGGGUAGAGCAUGCUGCUAGUCCACAUAUGUUUACCUUGUCCUAUACUCCCACUGCGUAAAUUAGAGUUUGAGACAACCUUUGAGAUUUGUGGUGACAUGAUUCUUAUUCCAAAUAUAUAGUUUAAUUAUUUUUUUCCAUCCUUUUGUCAAAACAAUUACUCCCUCUGGUUCAAAUUAAGUGUCCACUUAGCUUUUUUCGCACCCCUUAGGAAAACAUUAACUCCUAGAAAAAAAUAGAUAUUUUGACUAAACUACCUUUGAUUAAUAAGACUCUUGCUUAUUUAUUGCCUUGAGUGCAUAGGGACAAAUUUGGAAAAAUGAAGUUAAUUCCUUCUUGAUCUUGUAAGUGUACACUUAUUUUAACCAAAAUAAAAAGGCCAGGGUGGGACAUUGUGACGUCUCCUAAAAAAUGGGGAGGCCUCGGAAUUAAGGAUUUAAAAGUCUUUAAUAAAGCUUUAUUGGGUAAAUGGAUGUGGAGGUUCGGGGUGGAGGUACAAGCUUUGUGGAGGGGGGUGAUAGUUGACAAAUAUGGGAUUAUGGAAGGAGGCUGGAAAACUAGAGAUACCGUUUUGCCUUUUGGUUAUGGUUUAUGGAGAAAUAUCAUGUAGCGAUGGGAUAAUUUUGUGAAAAAUAUCUCAUUCAAGGUCGGUGAUAGGAGAAGGGUAUAUUUUUGGGGACACAACUGGUGUGGGGACAUAUUAUUGAAAGAUGAUUUCCAGAGUUUGUACAAAAUAUCUUGCCAUAGAUAUUUGACAAUUUAGCAGAUUAGGGGGACUCAAGGUGGAGAGACUUUUUGGGAUUUGAGAUUUAGAAAGGAUUUUCAAGAUUGGGAAGUGGAUGAGUUUCAAAGAUUGAUAGAUUUGCUUCAUAGGCAAGUCAACCGGGUGGAUAAUCCCGAUGUGUGGUGUUGGGCCCAAGGAAAUAAUGGAGUGUUCUCGGUGAAGUUUUUUUAUGAGAAACUUAUGGUUAGGGAGGAAGUUGAUUUCCCAUGUAAUGCAAUAUGGGUUCCAAGUUUGCCGAGGAAGGUGUUUUUCUUCACUUGGCUAGCCACUAGAGGAGUGAUUUUGACGGCGAAAAAUCUUAGAAAGAGAAAGGUUGUUUGCGUCAGUUGGUGCUACAUUUGCAAUGAGACAGGGGGGGACGUGAACCAUCUUCUUCUACAUUGUAGGUUUACCAUGAGACUGUAGUGGGACAUGUUUGGGUGGUUCAACACUUCUUGGGCAAUGCCAAGAACUGUGAAAGAGUUGAUGGGCUUGGAACAUGGUUCCGCUUGCAUUGAUGUGGGUAGUUUGGAAUGAGAGAAACAAGAGAGCUUUUAAAGGAAUAGAGUCAAGUUUUUCUCAAUUGAGGAGUAGUCUUCGCUCCCUUAUUUUCUUUUGGUGUAAUCAGAAAGUUCCUAGUUGUAUAGAGGAUUGGGUGGAGUUUGUAGAGAAUCAUAUUUUGUAGAUUCUUUUAUCUUUUGGUAUAUCCCUUGUAUACGGUCGUUCUUUGGCCAUGUUUAUGAAUGAAAAUACUUUUACUUGAUUUUAAAAAAAAAAAAAAAAGGGGCUAAGUG
Molecule: long non-coding RNA, 4388 nt
Organism: Lycium barbarum (goji berry)
Lineage: Eukaryota; Viridiplantae; Streptophyta; Magnoliopsida; Solanales; Solanaceae
Exons: 2
Source: RefSeq, a predicted model, not a curated record